CUUAGGCUUAGGCUUAGGUUUUGGCUUAGUCUUAGGCUAAGGCUUAGACUUAGAAUGAGUUUUACGCUUAGAACCAGGCUUUGGCUUAAGCUUAGGCUUGGGCUUAGGCCUAGGUUUAGAUAGAGACUUAGACUUAGGCUUAGGCUUAGG
Molecule: non-coding RNA, 150 nt
Organism: Caenorhabditis elegans
Lineage: Eukaryota; Metazoa; Nematoda; Chromadorea; Rhabditida; Rhabditidae
Source: Ensembl